RNAcentral lists this transfer RNA (71 nucleotides) under Loxodonta africana (African savanna elephant). It matches the Rfam family "tRNA". Rfam says of the family: Transfer RNA (tRNA) molecules are approximately 80 nucleotides in length. The record is from Rfam by way of RNAcentral. Lineage: Eukaryota; Metazoa; Chordata; Mammalia; Proboscidea; Elephantidae.
GCAUUAGUGGUUCAGUGGUAGAAUUCUUGGCAUCCAUGCAGGAGACCCAGGUUCAAAUCCCAGCAAACGCA